Molecule: ribosomal RNA, 1533 nt
Filed under: metagenome
Description: bacterial SSU rRNA
Rfam family: Bacterial small subunit ribosomal RNA
Source: RNAcentral
AGAGUUUGAUCCUGGCUCAGAGUGAACGCUGGCGGCGUGGAUUAGGCAUGCAAGUCGAGCGAUGGUGAGUAAGUGAGGCCGUAAGGCCGAACGAAUCGAACCAUAGCGGCAGACGGGUGAGGAACACGUGAGUAAUUUACCUUUAAAUUGGGGAUAGCCUCGAGAAAUCGUGGAUAAUACCUGAUGUGUUCUGAAAGGCAUAAGUCUUUCAGGAUAAAGGCGGGGACCGUAAGGCCUGCCGUUUAAAGAUGAGCUCGCGUCCUAUCAGCUUGUUGGUGGGGUAAUGGCCUACCAAGGCAUUUGACGGGUAGCUGGUCUGAGAGGAUGGUCAGCCACACUGGGACUGAGACACUGCCCAGACUCCUACGGGAGGCUGCAGUCGAGAAUCUUUAGCAAUGGGCGAAAGCCUGACUAUGCGACGCCGCGUGAGGGAUGACGGCCUUCGGGUUGUAAACCUCUUUCGAUGGGGAAGAAAAUCCUUGACAAGAAUACUGUCAAGGACUGCCGGUACCUAGAGAAGAAGCCACGGCCAACUCCGUGCCAGCAGCCGCGGUAAUACGGAGGUGGCAAGCGUUACUCGGAUUCAUUGGGUGUAAAGGGCAGGUAGGUGGCUAUAUAUGUCGAAGGUGAAAUCCUUGCGCUCAACGCAAGAACUGCCUUCGAGACUAUGUAGCUUGAGUGCAGAAGAGGAAAACGGAAUUCCAGGUGUAAGAGUGAAAUCUGUAGAUAUCUGGAAGAACACCAGUGGCGAAAGCGGUUUUCUGGUCUGCAACUGACAUUGAGCUGCGAAAGCUAGGGGAGCAAACAGGAUUAGAUACCCUGGUAGUCCUAGCCGUAAACGAUGAGCACUAGGUGUUGGUCCGCAAGGGUCAGCGCCGUAAGAUAACUCGUUAAGUGCUCCACCUGGGGACUACGGCCGCAAGGCUAAAACUCAAAGGAAUUGACGGGGGCCCGCACAAGCGGUGGAACAUGUGGUUCAAUUCGAUGCUACGCGAAGAACCUCACCAGGGCUUGACAUGUAGGUAGUAAGAACCUGAAAGGGGGAUGACUCGUAAAACCGAGAGCCUAUGCAGGUGCUGCAUGGCUGUCGUCAGCUCGUGUCGUGAGAUGUUGGGUUAAGUCCCGCAACGAGCGCAACCAUCAUCUUUAGUUGCCACCAUGAACCCGAAAGGGUUUGAUGAGCACUUUAAAGAGACUGCCUGCGAUAAGCAGGAGGAAGGUGGAGAUGACGUCAAGUCCGUAUGGCCUUUAUGCCCUGGGCUACACACGUGUUACAAUCCCUACUACAAAGCGUUGCCAAACCGCGAGGUGGAGCUAAUCGCAAAAAAGUAGGGUCAGUUCGGAUUGGAGUCUGCAAUUCGACUCCAUGAAGUUGGAAUCGCUAGUAAUGGCGGAUCAGCUACGCCGCCGUGAAUACGUUCCCGGGCCUUGUACACACCGCCCGUCAAGCGAUGGGAGCUGGGAGUACCCAAGUCUCUAAGCAAUUAGGGCCGAAGGUAAAACUGGUGACUGGCGCUAAGUCGUAACAAGGUA